This 2468-nucleotide long non-coding RNA is filed under the name Takifugu rubripes (torafugu). RNAcentral describes it as "lncRNA (ENSTRUG00000032237.1)". The record is from RNAcentral. Lineage: Eukaryota; Metazoa; Chordata; Actinopteri; Tetraodontiformes; Tetraodontidae.
UUAUUAUAACCUUUGAAGGCCAUCUACAGGACCUACUGUCACUAACAGUUGUCCAUGCGUCAUGACAUUAUUGACACUGGGUUUUUCCAAUAUACAAGGAAUUAAUUAAAUUCAUUUUUGAGUUAUGCAGCGAGACAAAUACACUGGCUGACCCGCACACGCCUACAAUCACAGUAUCGUAAAAAUGGUACAAUAAACCCUCCUGGAGGUAGGGCUUCUUAUAUGUGACUAUGUUGGUUAGCUGUGUUUUUUUGGAGGGGGUGAGUUGCACACAGGUAUCUUGAGUAUUUCUGCAACCAGGGACCAAAAUAAAUCUGGACUAGAGCCAACAGUUGUCAGAUCACUGAAGAGAUCAAAGGAGAAAUCAGAGCUGGGAGAUCAAACACAAGCAGCUCUACCUCUUUCAGCACACGCCUGAGGAGCUCAACACUCUUGUACCACACUGGUGACCAGCAGACACAUCAAUGGCACAGAGAGGUAUCCAGCAGCUGAAGGCAGAGCAAGAACCGAGGGAAUCAUCAGCGGAAACUUGGAGGGAAGAGGUCCAGCAGCUCAGAGAAGCCCUGGCUGAGAAGGAGGAGCAGCUCAGCAGGGCAGUGAAGAGGAGACAGAUGAGGACUGUGGCCCAUGUGGAGACCCUGACCCUGCUGAACAGCACACACGCUGCUCUGAAGGAGAGCAAACUCAAAUUUGCUUCUCUGGAGGAAACCCUCCACAGUCAGCAGCAGGAGAAAGAGGAGAGACGCAGGAGAGAGCUGAUGAAGCAGGAGGAAGGUCUGAAUCACAAGCUCCUUGUGAUCGAGGAGGAACUUGAGAGGCAGCUGGAGGAAGAGAAGCGGAGGAAUAAUGAAGAGAAAGAGUCAAUAAAGCAGCAGCUGAUGGCUAAAGAAGAAAACUUUAACAAGAUGGUGGCUGAAGUUUGUCAGUGGUUGGAGAGCACAGCUCAGAAAUGGGCACAAAAGAAUGAAGAGCUGGAGCACAGGUUCCAGGAGAGCCUAAGUUUGAGGCAACACAAGGAGGAGAAGAACAAAGAGGAGCUCCUGAGGCUCUCUGAAGCAAUCCUCCAACUUGAGCUUCAAGUGUUAAAGAAGCAGAAGAAAAAAAGCUUCUGGAGAUGGACGUUCUGGAAAAAGAGGAAGCAAACAACAAUUCUAGAGCUCCCAAAGCCCUCCUCCUCCUCCUCACCAUCCUGACCUCCACAGCAUCACAUCCUGUCUUCAGUUUUAUUUUACAAUAUAGUCAUUGCUUAUAUUCUAUGUUUGGAUCUAUGAUGUAGAAACAAUAAAACUCAAAGUAAACCACCAGAUUAUUGUAGAUGUUGUAAAUGACCGCUUUAGAAAUGGCUUCAUCUCAUUACUUGAGUCAGUUGGUUUCCUCCAGCAGAUAAACCAACCAACUCAUAGCUUUAACCACACCUUAGAUCUAGUCCUGACUUAUGGUGUUGAGGUAGAACAUGUGUCAGUGUUCCCUCAGAACCCCCUCCUGUCAGACCAUUCUUUAAUCACGUUUACAUUUAUUAUUAAGGAUUCUUCUAUAUUCAGAACACAGUCUUACUAUAGCAGAUGUCUUUCAGACAAUGCUGUAGCUAAGUUUAAGGAAGUGAUCCCUGUGCUGAUCCCAGGACCACCGUGUGUUUCUCCAGGGAUCAAUCAUUAUAAUCUUAGCCCUGCUGAGGUUGACGCUAUUGCUGAAGGUGCAGCAGCCUCACUGAGAAUCAGUGACAUCAAGUCUUGGAUGUCUUCAAAUUUCCUCCUAGUCCAUGCAUUUUUUACUCCCAGAUUGGACUAUUGUAAUUCUUUAUUAUCAGGGUAUCAAAACCACUCUUUAGAAAGCCCCCAGGUGAUCCAAAAUGCUGCAGCCAGAGUUCUGACAGGUAUAGGGUUAGGGUUGACAAAAGAGAUCACAUGACUCCUGUACUGGCAUGUCUUCAUUGGCUGCCCAUUAAAUUUAGAAUAAUUUUAAAAUUAUUCUUCUGACCUACAAGGUCCUCAGAGGCCUAGCUCUGUCACACCCUGCUCCAGCCCAUGGACUCAGUUCUUUUCCACUCCCCUGCUCACACCACACCCUCUGAUCACACACCUCAAUUAACCUACCAGUAUAUAUUCUCCAGCCUCACACUCACUCGGUGCCAGAUUGUUUCUGCUAUGCAUGACCUUCCAGCGUUUACCUGCCUGUCUUCCCGGAAUCGACCCUGCCUGUUUACGUCCUGCCUGUUCUGCCUGACCCCCGGUAAAUUAACUCUGUCUUCUGUUUUGACCACGAGCUCAGCCAGUCUCCCUCUGGAUUGUUUGCCUGAUUCUGCCUGCCUCCCGGUUACUGACUUUUUGCCUGCCUCGACCAAGUCCGCUGCCCCGCCCUCGAACUGUUCUUUGUUUGCCAGGUUAGUUAAGAAACCUGUUAACGGAUCAUCAGUUUAUUGCCUGUUUUGUACUGCACUUGGGUCCAUACCAUACCCGUCACAAGCUCCA